RNAcentral lists this ribosomal RNA (497 nucleotides) under uncultured bacterium. RNAcentral's name for it is "partial 16S ribosomal RNA". It matches the Rfam family "Bacterial small subunit ribosomal RNA", at positions 28 to 507 of the family's 1533-position model. The record is from RNAcentral.
GAUGAACGCUGGCGGCGUGCCUAAUACAUGCAAGUCGAGCGAACAGACGAGGAGCUUGCUCCUCUGACGUUAGCGGCGGACGGGUGAGUAACACGUGGAUAACCUACCUAUAAGACUGGGAUAACUUCGGGAAACCGGAGCUAAUACCGGAGAAUAUAUUGAACCGCAUGGUUCAAUAGUGAAAGACGGUGUUGCUGUCACUUAUAGAGGGAUCCGCGCCGCAUUAGCUAGUUGGGAAGUUAACGGGUUACCAAGGCAACGAUGCGUAGCCGACCUGAGAGGGUGGUCGGCCACACUGGAACUGGGACACGGUCCAGACGCCUACGGGAGGCAGCAGUCGGGAAUCUUCCGCAAUGGGCGAAAGCAUGACGGAGCAACGCGGCGUGAGUGAUGAAGGUCUUCGGUUCGUAAAACUCUGUUAUUAGGGAAGAACAAAUGUGUAAGUAACUAUGCACGUCUUGACGGUACCUAGUCAGAAAGCCACGGCUAACUACGUG